RNAcentral lists this long non-coding RNA (785 nucleotides) under Equus asinus (donkey). RNAcentral's name for it is "lncRNA (ENSEASG00005034009.1)". The record is from RNAcentral. Lineage: Eukaryota; Metazoa; Chordata; Mammalia; Perissodactyla; Equidae.
CAAGACAUUGCCAAAAUUACUUUUAUUCUUAAUCUGCUAACAGCUUCUUACUGCUAUCUGGCAGCCACAUGAAGAACUCUACUGAAACUACUCUCACCAAGAUUACAGAUGACCUACUUGCUGCAAAAUCAACAGUUUUAGAUCCUGAAUCACGGACUGAAGGAAAGGCUGGAUCCUCAUGAGGAAGCCUCUUGUAACACCAUAGCAGGUAUACGUAACAAUCCCCCUAAAGCAACCUAUGACCAUUUAUGCAAGUAAGGUAGGGAAUACUCAGAUUUUUUGAAAACUGUUGAACAUGGGGCUUAGGUUGAGGUUGAUACCCUAGGAUCCAAAAUAUCACAAGACUCCUUGUCCGAGAGAGAGAGGCAUAUGUGGAUCAGCUUUAAAAAAUGGAAUCCUGGCCCAGGUCCAGCUCACUGGGUCCACACAUCCAUCUGGUAGUCAUUUUUCCAGUCCCUGAUAUACAGUCAGAAUGGUACACUUGGUAGUUUGCAGAAUGCCUGCAGCUGUCCCUUGUCCUGAGGGUAACAGCUAACAUAGUAGGAAACACUAAAUUGAAGUUCUGAAAUGGGCUUCCCUCACACCCCUGCCCCCACCACCAGCCAAGAUAAUAAAUUAAAAAAAAUCACAUCCCAGGAGAAACAUCAGAGAACAUCACCCUUCAAAACCUGCAGGAUUCGGGGAUGGUGGUUACCAUUAUAUCUUUAUUUAAUUUACCAGUCUGAUCUUUAAAAAAUAGAUAGACCUUGACUGAUGAUAACAGUUCACCACAAACUUAGGCAAAU